GAUGAACGCUGGCGGCGUGCCUAAUACAUGCAAGUCGAGCGAACAGAUAAGGAGCUUGCUCCUUUGACGUUAGCGGCGGACGGGCGAGUAACACGUGGAUAACCUACCUAUAAGACUGGGAUAACUUCGGGAAACCGGAGCCAAUACCGGAUAAUAUUUCGAACCGCAUGGUUCGAUAGUGGAAGAUGGUUUUGCUAUCACUUAUAGAUGGACCCGCGCCGUAUUAGCUAGUUGGUAAGGUAACGGCUUACCAAGGCGACGAUACGUAGCCGACCUGAGAGGGUGAUCGGCCACACUGGAACUGAGACACGGUCCAGACUCCUACGGGAGGCAGCAGUAGGGAAUCUUCCGCAAUGGGCGAAAGCCUGACGGAGCAACGCCGCGUGAGUGAUGAAGGUCUUCGGAUCGUAAAACUCUGUUAUUAGGGAAGAACAUACGUGUAAGUAACUGUGCACGUCUUGACGGUACCUAAUCAGAAAGCCACGGCUAACUACGUG
Molecule: ribosomal RNA, 497 nt
Filed under: uncultured bacterium
Lineage: Bacteria
Description: partial 16S ribosomal RNA
Rfam family: Bacterial small subunit ribosomal RNA
Source: RNAcentral